RNAcentral lists this ribosomal RNA (327 nucleotides) under Acrapex yakoba. Its description in RNAcentral is "partial 16S ribosomal RNA". Lineage: Eukaryota; Metazoa; Arthropoda; Insecta; Lepidoptera; Noctuidae. The record is from RNAcentral.
ACUGUCUCUUAUUUAAUUAUAAAAUUUAAUUUUUUUAUUAAAAAGUUAAAAUAUUUUAAAAAGACGAGAAGACCCUAUAGAGUUUAAUAAAUUAUUAGAUUGAGAUUAUAUAUAAAUAAACUUAAAAUUAAAUUAUUUAUUUUGUUGGGGUGACAAAAAAAUACAUUAAACUUUUUUUUUAUUUAAAACAUUUAUAAGUGAUUAAGUGAUCCAAUAAUAUUGAUUAUGAGAAAAAAUUACCUUAGGGAUAACAGCGUAAUUUUUUUUUUUAGUUCAAAUAAGAAAAAGAGUUUGCGACCUCGAUGUUGGAUUAAGAUAAAAUUUAAA